GACGAACGCUGGCGGCGUGCCUAAUACAUGCCAGUUGAGCGCUGAAGGUUGGUACUUGUCCCAACUGGAUGAGCAGCGAACGGGUGAGUAACGCGUGGGGAAUCUGCCUUUGAGCGGGGGACAACAUUUGGAAACGAAUGCUAAUACCGCAUAAAAACUUUAAACACAAGUUUUAAGUUUGAAAGAUGCAAUUGCAUCACUCAAAGAUGAUCCCGCGUUGUAUUAGCUAGUUGGUGAGGUAAAGGCUCACCAAGGCGAUGAUACAUAGCCGACCUGAGAGGGUGAUCGGCCACAUUGGGACUGAGACACGGCCCAAACUCCUACGGGAGGCAGCAGUAGGGAAUCUUCGGCAAUGGACGAAAGUCUGACCGAGCAACGCCGCGUGAGUGAAGAAGGGUUUCGGAUCGUAAAACUCUGUUGGUAGAGAAGAACGUUGGUGGGAGUGGAAAGCUCAUCAAGUGACGGUAACUACCCAGAAAGGGACGGCUAACUACGUG
RNAcentral lists this ribosomal RNA (497 nucleotides) under uncultured bacterium. RNAcentral describes it as "partial 16S ribosomal RNA". It matches the Rfam family "Bacterial small subunit ribosomal RNA", at positions 28 to 507 of the family's 1533-position model. The record is from RNAcentral.